Molecule: transfer RNA, 77 nt
Filed under: Paenisporosarcina antarctica
Lineage: Bacteria; Bacillati; Bacillota; Bacilli; Caryophanales; Caryophanaceae
Description: tRNA-Arg
Rfam family: tRNA
About the family: Transfer RNA (tRNA) molecules are approximately 80 nucleotides in length.
Source: RNAcentral
GCGCCCGUAGCUCAAUCGGAUAGAGCGUUUGACUUCGGAUCAAAAGGUUGUGGGUUCGACCCCUGCCGGGCGCGCCA